CAAAACAAUGGCUCAAUUGUGUUUAACUUUGUAUUUUGAUUGUUGAGAAAAAAAAAAAAAAAAGUAUCGAUGUGUAUGUGGCCGUUCCUAGUGACUUCAUUGCGGAAUGAGGUUGUCCGUGUCCUUGCCAAGCCCGGGGGCAGAAGACACCCUCUCUCACCCCCUCCUCCAAGAGCAGUAGAGAAUUUAAGCACAAGCCUCUUUGUGAAAGAGUAUUUUGCUCAAGUGUCAUUCACUCUAGUCUUGGAAAUUUCUUCCCAAACAUCAGGUGUUCUUUUAGCUUCCAAACUAUGCUGUGUACUCAUUUAGUCUUGACAAAAAUCGCCUGAGCACCGUUCCAGGGGUGGGGUGUUUUUGCUUUGAUUUCUCCUGCUGGGAGAAACAGCAUUUCGUGUGUCAUUCCAGUAUCUCACAUACGCNNNNNNNNNNNNNNNNNNNNNNGUGGGGAACUAUAGCAAUAUUUGAAGAUGCUUUGGGGAAACAACCGUGAACACGUCCGCACCAUGACAUCCGCAUUUACUUGUCGGUCCUAGGACACAUUUAAGAGACGGAGACUACGCUCUUUCUUCUUAAAUGCUAUCCCCGUGGAAAGUCAUUUUCAUGCUACUGCAGUUGUCUCUUAUCUUUGCCUAGUACUUUGUGGAAAGGGUCUGCAUCAUGGAUUUUCCCAGCCUUAUGAUACACCCUGAGCUCCUAUUUCCCUCCCCCCUCUCUAAGCAGUAUAUGUAUAUGUAUCUAUAUAUACACAUGUUCGAGGGUUCUCUGGUCAAAUUGUCCAUCUGAAACUAAAGUGAACCCACCCCACCGACAACGGUUGGAAAAAACCCUGGCCAAAACAGCUGUGGCAGAUUUUAGUCUGGCGGCUGCGUUUUUCAGAAGGACUGUGGGAAGCUUCUCCCAAGAGCUGGUUUUUUUUUUUUUCCCUGGGAGAGGCACAGGGUGUCUGGCUCUGGCUGGGCGAGGCCGUGAAUACCACAUCUCACCUGGGGGGCCAGCUUCGGGCUGUGGGCUUUGUAGGGUGAAGACCUUCCAGAUGGCCUUUGUCCAGCUCAGUCCUGGGGCCCAAAUGCUACCAGCCCCCCGCCUCAGUGCCCUCCGCCCCGCACUCCACACGUGUGGGCCCCCAGCGUCUCAUCCAAGAGCUCUUGGAGAAGGAAUCAGAGUUCUGUACAAGUGACCUGCAUGGGAGGGUU
Molecule: long non-coding RNA, 1193 nt
Filed under: Capra hircus (goat)
Lineage: Eukaryota; Metazoa; Chordata; Mammalia; Artiodactyla; Bovidae
Description: lncRNA (ENSCHIG00010010252.1)
Source: RNAcentral